RNAcentral lists this ribosomal RNA (603 nucleotides) under Triticum aestivum (bread wheat). Its description in RNAcentral is "partial small subunit ribosomal RNA". The record is from RNAcentral. Lineage: Eukaryota; Viridiplantae; Streptophyta; Magnoliopsida; Poales; Poaceae.
AUGGGCUCUUUCUGGUGGAGGAACAUCCUCAAGCUCCUUCCUCAGUUCAAGCCAGUCGCAAGAGGGGUAAUUGGUCAGGCUGCUGGGAAUCUUUACUUGGUCAUAGGCACAGAGGAGUCUCUCUUUAUGAAGAGCGUCGCCGACCUCUUCGCCGGGCUGCUCAAGUCGGGCCUGGAGCACCUGCGCAUGGGCGACACGGCAAGAUCGGGUUCGCCGUCAAGUGAGGCCAUCGUGCGUGGCGUCUUCCCGCGCGACUCGAGCCCCAAGUACCUCGCCAUCCCCCACAAACACUACGCCUGCCGCGUCCGCAACCGGCUCUGCCGCGAGGUGCAGGUGCCGCUCCGCAAGGUGCUCGAGCUUCCCGAGGUCUACAUGAGCCCCUGCAAGUGGGACGAGCUGCCGUACGUGCGUGUGGCGUCCACGGCCAUGCGCCAGUACAAGGAGGCGUCUUGGAUGUGCUUCUUUCUUCUGAUCAUGGGUUCGGCGACGGCGGCCGGAAGCCAGGAGGGCUGGCCAAGGAAGAGGGUGAGGACGUGGGGAUUGAAGAGGGUUCCUAUGCAUAUUGUUCAUUGCAAUGGUAAAGCAUCGUCAGCACUGUAUUGA